Molecule: ribosomal RNA, 254 nt
Filed under: uncultured bacterium
Lineage: Bacteria
Description: partial 16S ribosomal RNA
Rfam family: Bacterial small subunit ribosomal RNA
Source: RNAcentral
UACGUAGGGUGCGAGCGUUGUCCGGAUUUAUUGGGCGUAAAGAGCUCGUAGGCGGCUCGGUAAGUCGGGUGUGAAACCUCCAGGCUCAACCUGGAGACGCCACCUGAUACUGCUGUGGCUAGAGUCCGGUAGGGGAGCGUGGAAUUCCUGGUGUAGCGGUGAAAUGCGCAGAUAUCAGGAGGAACACCAGCGGCGAAGGCGGCGCUCUGGGCCGGUACUGACGCUGAGACGCGAAAGCGUGGGGAGCGAACAGG